GGCAAAUCGAUGCUGAUGUCAUCCAGCAUGGCCCCAUAAAGCAAACAACCUGUCCCCAAAUCCCUUGGAGUGAAAACCUUCUUGACCAGCAAAUACUCCAAAAGAUUCACUAGAGGUUCCAGGCAUGAGACACCCUUGUCGAGAGCUAUAUUGAUGGCUUCCUUGACCACCUCAGGAUGAUACUCAGGGCUCUUCAGUUCUUCUACACAUUGAAGUGCUUCAUCUAGAAUGCGGAUGUGAAAAUACUCCUCCAGAAGAGCGACAGUCUUCUUGUGUAGCUCAUUAGGAUUA
This 291-nucleotide long non-coding RNA is filed under the name Musa acuminata (dwarf banana). RNAcentral describes it as "long non-coding RNA (MACU_LNC001861)". The record is from RNAcentral. Lineage: Eukaryota; Viridiplantae; Streptophyta; Magnoliopsida; Zingiberales; Musaceae.